Molecule: ribosomal RNA, 1427 nt
Filed under: Endochironomus pekanus
Lineage: Eukaryota; Metazoa; Arthropoda; Insecta; Diptera; Chironomidae
Description: 16S ribosomal RNA
Source: RNAcentral
AAUAAAAAAUUUAAUUAAAAUUUAAUUUUUAAAUUAAUAAAAUAAAAUAAUUAAUAAAAAUAUUUUUUUUUGUUUAAGUAAUUAAUAAAUAAAAUAAUAAUAAUUAGUGUAUUAAAUUUAUUACACUUAUAUAUUUAUAGUUUAUAGUAAUGAAAUUGAAAAUUGAAAUAAUAUUGAAAAAUUUUUUUAAAAAAAAGAAUAAUUCAUUUUUUGUUCCUUGUGUAUCAGGAUUAAUUUAAUUUUAAAUUUUAAAUUUAAAUUAAUUUAUAAUUUAAAACAUUAAAAAAUUUUUAAUUUUUAUUGUAUCAAAAAUAUAAUAUAAAAAUUUUUAAAAAUGAAAUGUUAAUUGUUUUUAAAGUUAUAUAAUUUUUAAAGAAAUAAAUUUAAUUUAUAAAUAAGUUUUAAUUAUUAAUAAAAUAAUUUAUUUUUUUUUAUUUUAAUAAAGUUAAUUUAUUUAUAUAUUUUAGGGGUUGAGCUUUAAAAUAAAUAUUUAUAAAAAUUAAAUUUUUAAAAAAUAAAUAAUCUUAAAAAUAGAUAAUUUUAAUUAAAAUGUUUUAAUUAAUUUUUUUUUAAAAAAAUUUAUUUUUUUUUUAAUUUUUUAUUUAAAAAAUUAUUUUAAUAAAAUAAAAUAAUGAAAUAAUAAUUAAAUUAGUAGUUUAAAAUUUUUUUAAAAAAUAAUUUUUUUUUGAUUUUUUAAUAUUAUAAAUUCGGCAAUAUUAUUUUUAUCUGUUUAACAAAAACAUUGUUUUUUUAAUUUUUUUAUAAAAUAAGGCCUGCACACUGAAAAUUUUUAAAGAGCCGCGGUAAUUUGACCGUGCAAAGGUAGCAUAAUCAUUAGUUUUUUAAUUGAAGACUGGAAUGAAAGGUCUGAUAAAAAAUAAUCUUUAUUAUAUUAAUAUAAAUGAAUUUAUUAUUUUAGUAAAAAAACUAAAAUAUUUAUAAAAGACGAUAAGACCCUAUAAAGCUUUAUAAGAAAAUUAAUAUUAUUUUUUUAGAAUAUUUAGAAUUUUAAAAAUUUACUUAUUUAAUUGGGGUGAUUUUAAGAUUAAUUUAACUCUUUUUAAAAAUAAUCAAUUUUAAUUGUUUUUUAAUGAUCCUAAAUUUUUAGAUUAAUAAAUUAAGUUACUUUAGGGAUAACAGCGUAAUUUUUUUGGAGAGUUCAAAUCGAUAGAAAAGUUUGCGACCUCGAUGUUGGAUUAAAAUAUAAUUUAGGCGUAGAAGUUUAAAUUCUUAGUCUGUUCGACUAUUUAAUUUUACAUGAUCUGAGUUCAAACCGGUUUAAGCCAGGUUGGUUUCUAUCUUUAUAAAUUUAUUUUAUUUUAGUACGAAAGGACCAAAUAAAAAAUUUUAAAUUUAAAUUAAUGAAAUAAAUUAAUUUAUUAAAAAUAUUUUUAUAUUUUUAAGUUUAUUUAAAUAAAUAAUAAAUA